RNAcentral lists this long non-coding RNA (576 nucleotides) under Marmota monax (woodchuck). Lineage: Eukaryota; Metazoa; Chordata; Mammalia; Rodentia; Sciuridae. The record is from RNAcentral.
GCAAGAAUGCUCUUUUAGCUUAAGUAGCAUAGAAGUGGCUAUAGUGAUAAAAAUGGAAUUAGUAAUAAAGUCAUCCAUUCUCCCAUACUAUAGAUAGGAAUUCCAAAUCUUUGAAGUCAUGUUUGAACUAGAAGGAGAUUCAUUUUGUAAAAGAUAAAACAAAGCUGGGCAUUAGUUAAAGGGGUAAGUACAGAUUUUAAUCAGGAUAUGCUAUUGCAAUUGAGAGAAAGAAUUCAGCAAGAAUUGUGCCCCACUUUAAUUUGUGUAGAGGUGACCAGGCAUUAUAAAAUGGAGAAUGAGGAAACAGGGAGCGUCAGAGUCAGUAAUGUGCAAAGGUUCCAGUUUCUCUGCAUCCUAGCCAACAUUCCUUACUUUCUGCAUCUGUUGUUGUGUUUACUAAUUGCCAUCAUAACGGGUAUGAUGUGAUGUCUUAUUGUGGUUUGAUUUGUAUUCAAAGGACUGUUGAUGUUGAAUAUGGCUUUUUGGUGUUUUCAUCUUUGGAGAAAUGUCUGUUUAAGUCCUUUGCCCAUUUUUUAAAUCAGGUUGUUAUUUUGUUAAUUUAUAAGUAUAUUACAU